CCUACGGGAGGCAGCAGUGGGGAAUAUUGGACAAUGGGGGGAACCCUGAUCCAGCCAUGCCGCGUGUGUGAAGAAGGCCCUCGGGUUGUAAAGCACUUUCAGUGAGGAAGAACGCCUGGUGGUUAAUACCCAUCAGGAAAGACAUCACUCACAGAAGAAGCACCGGCUAACUCCGUGCCAGCAGCCGCGGGAAUACGGAGGGUGCGAGCGUUAAUCGGAAUUACUGGGCGUAAAGCGCGCGUAGGUGGCUUGAUAAGCCGGUUGUGAAAGCCCCGGGCUCAACCUGGGAACGGCAUCCGGAACUGUCAAGCUAGAGUGCAGGAGAGGAAGGUAGAAUUCCCGGUGUAGCGGUGAAAUGCGUAGAGAUCGGGAGGAAUACCAGUGGCGAAGGCGGCCUUCUGGACUGACACUGACACUGAGGUGCGAAAGCGUGGGUAGCAAACAGGAUUAGAUACCCCGGUAGUC
Molecule: ribosomal RNA, 465 nt
Filed under: Vreelandella stevensii
Lineage: Bacteria; Pseudomonadati; Pseudomonadota; Gammaproteobacteria; Oceanospirillales; Halomonadaceae
Description: partial 16S ribosomal RNA
Rfam family: Bacterial small subunit ribosomal RNA
Source: RNAcentral